This 253-nucleotide ribosomal RNA is filed under the name uncultured bacterium. RNAcentral's name for it is "partial 16S ribosomal RNA". It matches the Rfam family "Bacterial small subunit ribosomal RNA", at positions 524 to 776 of the family's 1533-position model. The record is from RNAcentral.
UACGUAGGUGGCAAGCGUUGUCCGGAAUUAUUGGGCGUAAAGCGCGCGCAGGCGGUUCCUUAAGUCUGAUGUGAAAGCCCACGGCUCAACCGUGGAGGGUCAUUGGAAAAUGGGGAACUUGAGUGCAGGAGAGAAGAGUGGAAUUCCACGUGUAGCGGUGAAAUGCGUAGAGAUGUGGAGGAACACCAGUGGCGAAGGCGACUCUUUGGCCUGUAACUGACGCUGAGGCGCGAAAGCGUGGGGAGCAAACAGG